RNAcentral lists this transfer RNA (62 nucleotides) under Cavia porcellus (domestic guinea pig). It matches the Rfam family "tRNA". From Rfam's summary of the family: Transfer RNA (tRNA) molecules are approximately 80 nucleotides in length. Their secondary structure includes four short double-helical elements and three loops (D, anti-codon, and T loops). The record is from Rfam by way of RNAcentral. Lineage: Eukaryota; Metazoa; Chordata; Mammalia; Rodentia; Caviidae.
GGGGAUUUAGCUCUGGCAUAAGCACCUGCCUGGCAAGCAGGAGGUCGUGAGUUCAAUCCCUA